AUCAGCAACAAAUAUUCCACAAAUCAAGCUAAUAGCAAGAAAUCAGGAGCAAAAUUUUGAAUGAGAUCUUAGGCUGUCUUCCAAUAUAUGAGACGAUGUGCGAUCUAGGUUUUUUUUUUAUGAUUGCGAUUACUCUCUUAACUCCUAAGCCCUAAUCGACCAUUUAUCUACAAUCUACAUAGAAAACUGAAAAUUAGCGGGAGAUACUGAUAAGAGAAGGCGGGACACAGGAUGAAGCCACGAACUAUGUUGUUGCUGCUGGUGUUCAAUGGUUUCUUGAAGAUAUUCGAUUUGUUCCUUAUAAACCAACAGAUUGAAGGUCUUGAUGGACAUAUUAUUAUGGGCAUACCAACGCUCAUUGGAACAUGAACGGUUAAAUUUAAAAAAAGAAUAUGAAGAAAAAUGGCAAAAACACCACAAGCUAUUGGCCUUGGUAUCAAAAGAUGGAACAAAUUGUUGAGAAUUGAUUUCCCUUAAAAGUUGUAGUGGAUGAAGAUAUUGCUAUAGGAGGAAUCCAUGGAUAAUGAGUUUUUAGAAAGAAUAAAAAAGAUGCCAAAGGCACAUACAGAAAGAGAAUUUUAGAGCAUUUGGGAUAUCUUCAUCUUCUUAGACGGGAACAACUAGACGACUUAUUUCGGGUCGUAGAAUGAGCAAGCAACAAGGAUCAUCAAGGAAUGUCGAAUAUAGCACCAACUAAUACUCUGUUGUUCCACCUGUGCAUUACCAAGGGUGAAAGUGGAUUUAUGGAGGAUUCUGAAAUUGUUUUAGAUUAAUGGAAGAUUCUGAGAAUGUUUCGGAAGCUAGAAUUCAAGAAUUCAUAAAUAAUCUUCGGAUUUUAUAUCCCAAAACGCUCUUUUCCACGUAAUAAUAUAAACUUCUUUGUCACCUUUUCACUUUA
Molecule: long non-coding RNA, 898 nt
Organism: Lactuca sativa (garden lettuce)
Lineage: Eukaryota; Viridiplantae; Streptophyta; Magnoliopsida; Asterales; Asteraceae
Source: RefSeq, a predicted model, not a curated record